This 469-nucleotide ribosomal RNA is filed under the name uncultured bacterium. RNAcentral describes it as "partial 16S ribosomal RNA". It matches the Rfam family "Bacterial small subunit ribosomal RNA", at positions 28 to 507 of the family's 1533-position model. The record is from RNAcentral.
GACGAAUGCUGGCGGCGUGCUUAACACAUGCAAGUCGAACGGUGAAGCGAGUGCUUGCACUCGUGGAUCAGUGGCGAACGGGUGAGUAACACGUGAGUAACCUGCCCAUCACUCUGGGAUAAGCACUGGAAACGGUGUCUAAUACUGGAUACGACCAACCCUUGCAUGGGGUGUUGGUGGAAAGAUUUAUCGGUGAUGGAUGGACUCGCGGCCUAUCAGCUUGUUGGCGGGGUAAUGGCCCACCAAGGCGACGACGGGUAGCCGGCCUGAGAGGGUGACCGGCCACACUGGGACUGAGACACGGCCCAGACUCCUACGGGAGGCAGCAGUGGGGAAUAUUGCACAAUGGGCGAAAGCCUGAUGCAGCGACGCCGCGUGAGGGAUGACGGCCUUCGGGUUGUAAACCUCUUUCAGCAGGGAAGAAGCGAAAGUGACGGUACCUGCAGAAGAAGCACCGGCUAACUACGUG